Aegilops tauschii subsp. strangulata is the source of this 2024-nucleotide non-coding RNA. The record is from RefSeq and is a predicted model, not a curated record. NCBI's taxonomy places the organism in Eukaryota, Viridiplantae, Streptophyta, Magnoliopsida, Poales, Poaceae.
GCUGCCACAUAACAAAAUUACUUUCAAAUAUGUAUCCUUUGCAAAAAUAUAUUGAGUAAAGAAGCUAGUUAGUUGCCAAAAUUACUUUUGUUGUCCACUUGAAAUGGUUCAAUAUGUAUCCAUUGCAAAAAUAUAUUGAGUAAAGAAGCUAGUUAGUUGCCAAAAUUACCUUUGUUGUCCACUUGAAAUGGUUCAAUAUGUAUCCAUUGCAAAACAAGGCAUUUUGAUAGCACUCCUAUGACAAGUGAGUUCUAUCUAUUUUAGAAAUGGGCAUCAUCUAGCUGGACCGCUAAUAUUUGUAGUUUUGCUUUGGACCUAUUACUAUUUUCUAUAUAUGAUUAUCAUAUGAGGUGGUGGUGGACUGGUGGUCACCCAUUGGCCCAAAGGGACAAUUUUUUGGUCGCAGUUAGAAUAGCUAAAGAUCUGGGUUCAUACUGGGGAUGCAUGUUCUUUUAGUUUUUAUUUUGAAUAGUCUUGGAAAUUAAUUGACAAGUCUGGCUGAUAUGCUCAUUGCUCAUGAGAAAAUUAACACAAAUCAUAUUGUCAUGCUCCUGAAACUGAUAGGGAGAAUGGUUCCUCGAAGAGCGGUAGUAGUUCAAGUUCACUGCUGACUUUAUGCACCUAUAUUUAGGAACAGGGCAACAAAUGUAGUCAACUGAAGAGCUUAUUCUACAACAUUUCAGUUUGUAGAAUAGUGAUCAGCCAAUCUGCAAGAACCCUUUCUUCCUCCCGGGUUCACACCCCAUGUCCUGGCACAACUGGUCAUUGUACCAGAUGUGGAGAGCUCCAGCGCAAGAUCCAUGGAAGUAUUCACGAGAGUACCUCUUCAUGUAUUCAUCCCAUUCCUUUAUAUCCAUCUCCAUAGAUUUUAUGCUAGGCAACUGAAAUGCUCCAUCAUGGAAAUGUGUCAACCAUUUGGAGUGCAUGUUGCUAUGCUCUCAGAGUAGCCGAUGAUCGCCAAUUGCGUGGUCCUAGGAUGCACGCAUUGCCUGCCCAGUUCACAAAAUUCACUGUGAGCUUCUGCAUAUGUACAGACAGACAAACAAACAUGUUUAAGAGAAAGACAGAUUAAACCUGUAGAGAGGAAUACUACUGGAUGGCGGGCCAGUCACAGUGUCUCUGAGCAAGGAUGAUGUGAACAUCCCCUUGAGCUUUUGGUCUGCUUUGUAUCCGGUGACGAAUAUGACCACAUCGCUCUUUAUAUAUCGGCGUGGAUUCUCCUUCGACAAUCACACCUUGUUUGCAGAAACUGAAGCUCUUUGCUUUCUUGAGAACAAUGCUUCCUUGAUCAACCAUGUCAUAGAAUUUGUCUAGCAAUAUGGCAACCAAGCAUGAGCUGAUGGCCUGGAGGAAACUGUGGUCUGGCACCAUGCCGUGCCUAUCCAUAGGCACCGCCCAUCUGUAGUAGCUCUCGACAAACUUCGAAAGGAGCCAUCUCUGAUCAGUGUAUAUAUUCAGGUUGAAUAAAUGCAUGAGCACAAAUAGAUGAUCUGUAGUUACUUAAAAGAGUGGUGUGGUAUAAGUAGAAACUCUGGCUGGUGGCCAUUACCAAGGGUGAUAAGAAGGUAGCAAGAAUGCUAAGGAUCAGCCCCUCUCCUGGCUUGUGAACUAGGAGCUCCGAGAAGUGGUUGAGGUAGAAGAAUGCAAUGGGAAUGCCCCAGGCGUAGUAGUCAGCAAUGUCAACAGCGGACUUCUGGUAACCGACAACAGUACCGAAAAAGGCUUUCGCCCCUGAUAAGCUCGGUGGACUUUGCAGCGCCCAUGUCGGAGUGGAUCACCGUGCCGUCAAAGUUCUCCAGCCCUUUGUUCGGCGGGAAUGUGGGAAUGUUGGGGACGCCGCUGAAUCUCCCAGUGCACAGGAUCACAAAGUCAGUGACGUAUGUCUGGAAAUCAGCUGUUGCCGACGCACCAAUCUGUUCAAGUGUUGAUGCAGACCUGUUUUCUCACUGUCAACUAUUGUCACUUUGUCAGCUCUUAACUACAAUGUUUUUACUGCUAGUGCAAGAAAAUUAUUAUUUUCACCU